Molecule: ribosomal RNA, 254 nt
Filed under: uncultured bacterium
Lineage: Bacteria
Description: partial 16S ribosomal RNA
Rfam family: Bacterial small subunit ribosomal RNA
Source: RNAcentral
UACGGAGGGUGCAAGCGUUAUCCGGAUUCACUGGGUUUAAAGGGUGCGUAGGAGGGCAGGGAAGUCAGUGGUGAAAUCUCCGGGCUUAACUCGGAAACUGCCGUUGAUACUCUCUGUCUUGAAUCCCGUGGAGGUGAGCGGAAUAUGUCAUGUAGCGGUGAAAUGCUUAGAUAUGACAUAGAACACCAAUUGCGAAGGCAGCUCGCUACACGAAGAUUGACUCUGAGGCACGAAAGCGUGGGGAUCAAACAGGA